GACGAACGCUGGCGGCGUGCCUAAUACAUGCAAGUAGAACGCUGAAGAGAGGAGCUUGCUCUUCUUGGAUGAGUUGCGAACGGGUGAGUAACGCGUAGGUAACCUGCCUUGUAGCGGGGGAUAACUAUUGGAAACGAUAGCUAAUACCGCAUAACAAUGGAUGACACAUGUCAUUUAUUUGAAAGGGGCAAUUGCUCCACUACAAGAUGGACCUGCGUUGUAUUAGCUAGUAGGUGAGGUAACGGCUCACCUAGGCGACGAUACAUAGCCGACCUGAGAGGGUGGUCGGCCACACUGGGACUGUGACACGGCCCAGACGCCUACGGGAGGCAGCAGUAGGGAAUCUUCGGCAAUGGGGGCAACCCUGACCGAGCAACGCCGCGUGAGUGAAGAAGGUUUUCGGAUCGUAAAGCUCUGUUGUAAGUCAAGAACGAGUGUGAGAGUGGAAAGUUCACACUGUGACGGUAGCUUACCAGAAAGGGACGGCUAACUACGUG
RNAcentral lists this ribosomal RNA (497 nucleotides) under uncultured bacterium. RNAcentral describes it as "partial 16S ribosomal RNA". It matches the Rfam family "Bacterial small subunit ribosomal RNA", at positions 28 to 507 of the family's 1533-position model. The record is from RNAcentral.